AUUGAACGCUGGCGGCAGGCCUAACACAUGCAAGUCGAACGAGUGGCGGACGGGUGAGUCAUGUCUGGGAAACUGCCUGAUGGAGGGGGAUAACUACUGGAAACGGUAGCUAAUACCGCAUACCAUCAGAUGUGCCCAGAUUGGAUUAGCUAUUUGGUAGGGUAACGGCUCACCAAGGCGACGAUCCCUAGCUGGUCUGAGAGGAUGACCCGCCACACGGGAACUGAGACCCGGUCAAGACUCCUACGGGAGGCAGCAGGGGGGAAUAUUGCGCAAUGGGCGCAAGCCUGAUGCAGCCAUGCCGCGUGUAUGAAGAAGGCCUUCGGGUUGUAAAGUACUUUCAGCGGGGAGGCGUUACCCGCAGAAGAAGCACCGGCUAACUCCGUGCCAGCAGCCGCGGUAAUUC
This 406-nucleotide ribosomal RNA is filed under the name uncultured bacterium. RNAcentral describes it as "partial 16S ribosomal RNA". It matches the Rfam family "Bacterial small subunit ribosomal RNA", at positions 30 to 526 of the family's 1533-position model. The record is from RNAcentral.